AACGAACGCUGGCGGCAUGCCUAACACAUGCAAGUCGAACGAUGCCUUCGGGCAUAGUGGCGCACGGGCGCGUAACGCGUGGGAAUCUGCCUUUCGGUUCGGAAUAACUCAGGGAAACUUGAGCUAAUACCGGAUAACGUCGCAAGACCAAAGAUUUAUCACCGAAAGAUGAGCCCGCGUAGGAUUAGCUAGUUGGUGAGGUAAAGGCUCACCAAGGCGACGAUCCUUAGCUGGUCUGAGAGGAUGAUCAGCCACACUGGGACUGAGACACGGCCCAGACUCCUACGGGAGGCAGCAGUGGGGAAUAUUGGACAAUGGGCGAAAGCCUGAUCCAGCAAUGCCGCGUGAGUGAUGAAGGCCUUAGGGUUGUAAAGCUCUUUUACCCGGGAAGAUAAUGACGGUACCGGGAAAAUAAGCCCCGGCUAACUCCGUG
This 433-nucleotide ribosomal RNA is filed under the name uncultured bacterium. RNAcentral's name for it is "partial 16S ribosomal RNA". It matches the Rfam family "Bacterial small subunit ribosomal RNA", at positions 29 to 507 of the family's 1533-position model. The record is from RNAcentral.